RNAcentral lists this ribosomal RNA (376 nucleotides) under uncultured bacterium. RNAcentral describes it as "bacterial SSU rRNA". It matches the Rfam family "Bacterial small subunit ribosomal RNA", at positions 524 to 898 of the family's 1533-position model. The record is from RNAcentral.
UACAGAGGCCUCAAGCGUUAGGCGGAAUCACUGGGCUUAAAGCGUGUGUAGGCGGAUGUCUAAGUGCCUUGUGAAAUCCCAUGGCUCAACCAUGGAACUGCUGGGCAUACUGGACGUCUUGAGCCAUCCAGGGGUCGCUGGAACAAACGGUGGAGCGGUGAAAUGCGUAGAUAUCGUUUGGAACGCCAAAGGUGAAGACAGGCGACUGGGGAUGUGCUGACGCUGAGACACGAAAGCCAGGGGAGCAAACGGGAUUAGAUACCCCGGUAGUCCUGGCCCUAAACGAUGUCCACUAGAUUAUGGCGCCUUUGACGGCGUCAUGGUCGAAGCAAAAGUGUUAAGUGGACCGCCUGGGAAGUACGGUCGCAAGGCUAAA